Molecule: non-coding RNA, 7342 nt
Organism: Xyrichtys novacula (pearly razorfish)
Lineage: Eukaryota; Metazoa; Chordata; Actinopteri; Labriformes; Labridae
Source: the annotation of a GenBank genome assembly
UCAGAGGAGGGCUAUUACUGUCUCCUGCCAAACUUUUGUUUGUUCUCUGUUUUUGCUCAAGUACUGACUAAUCUGUUCAGCAUGAACUGAAUCAGAAAAAGGCCACAAAUAGAAGAAAAAAAAAGCAUGAGAAGGAAAAGAGAAAGAAAACAAAAAAACUUUGGUCAAAGAGAUUACAGAAAGAGGUUAAAAUGAAACAACAGAAAGAAGUGGUACUCAGAAAAAUGUCCAGAUAGAGUCAGACACAGCAGAUAAAGGUGGCUGAGGUCAAAGGGGUAGAGGUUAAUACAGACUAGAGGACUAAACACAUCAGGGAGUUUCUCCUAAAAAGGAGAGAUCAUUAUAAAGGCAGCAUAGACAAAAGACUUCCUUUUUAUUCUUGGACUGCUUUCAGGAAACUGUGUUAGAAGAUUUUUACAGAAAGGGAUGAACUAGUAUGAGAGAGAGUAACAAAAGCUGAAUUCCAAACAAGUGAAAACACAUAAUCUUUCCAAGUGGUAGCAUGUUUGUGUUCUCAAUUUUUUGCCUAAUGUUCUAUUUAUCGCACAGAGGCAGAUGGUGUGUCCUUGAAGAACUGUAAAGCAAUUAUGAAAUGCAUUGUUUCACAGGGUUUAAAUCAAAUGAUUAUUUUCAAUAGAGCCUUGAUACCUCUGCUCUGAUUUCCUUGACUUGAUUAUAUUGAAGACAGAGAUUGUUCUCCUGGGAUAGCUGGAAAAUUUCCCAGAGAUCAAGAAAACAGACUUUUCUUUGCCCUACCUGACCUUUGUACCUUCCUUGCACUAGAUUUGAACCCAAGACCAUUUCACUCAAAGGCAGCAACUCUAACCACCCUACCACAGGCCUGCCUGCCUGGAUUUGAACAUGAUAACUUAAAGCCAGAAACAGAAGUUGUCCAUAAUCCCACAGGACUGCUUGACGGUGUUUGCUUUUGAAGGUCUUUUGAUGUCCCCAUUUAAUAAUGAUAGUUCAAAAGCAACGUUAAACUACAGUGUAAGGAUAGCAUUUCUUUGCUGGCUCAUUAUAGAAAACACUUGAAUUAAAAACCCAGAAACUUUGCAUUGAGAGGCAGCAGUCUUCAUCACUACACGCAAGGGAUUGCUUGGCAGAGGGUGCUUCUGUUGACCUUUUCAUUUCACGUUUAGUUAUGGCUAUCAAAAAGGGCAACACACCUCUUUAUUGUUUAACAUUGAAAGUUCUUGUGCUGGAUGUAAUGUUUUAUGCUAUGAUAGUAUUUAUUGAGUCAAAUAUUCUUUGCUGUGAAAGUCUUAACCAAUAAAAAUGAAAGAAAAAAAAAUUCUAUUUAAGUCUAUGGAGGGCCCCAUUCCUUCACUGGGGCCCUGGAAAAAAAAGGUUUUCAAUGUGUUCCUUGGUGCUGAGUAAUAUGCAGAUGUACAGCUCAUACAGUUACCCGUUGUUAGCUGUUGUUUACAAUUGUCAGCUGCUGUUAGCCAUUAUCAGUUGUUGUUAGCGAUACCGGUUGUAAACAACGCAUAACACAUUAUUUUACUCUUACAAACACCAUAGCACCGUGUUCACAGUUAGACGUUGGGCAGUAAAACGUAUCCCACUUAUUUAAUUUCACAAAAAUAAAACAGAAGUGCUAAUAAAUAAUAUGUUACGAGAACUUUCACUGUUACCCUUUACUGUUGGUGCAUUGCGCUGCCAUCUUAGAUAAUGACGUUGUCAAGUCGGGGUUGGCAAAGAUCGUCCGACUUUCCGAGUCGGAAUCCAACUUCAGGGGGGCGUUCCAGAUAAAUUUCUGUCUAGGAGCUAAGAAAUUCUGACUUCCGAGUACAACUGGAAUGCAGCAUUACAUACCUGAUAACUGCCCAUCAAAAUUACAUUAAAGGCACUCUUGGAGAUAGCUUCAUGUUGGUGAUGUCCUUGAUAUCACAUCUUACAUUGCUGUUAAUGAAUCAGCUGUGCUAUCCAAACUGAGGUUUUAAUAAUGCGAAAAGGUUUUAUUUCUUCAAUACUAAAGUUAUUCUGACACAAACAGACAGAGUGCUGAGAUAAACUUCUAACCGAGCUCAGUACAUACCCAUGUUUAUUCAGAGGGCCCAUUCUCAUAACAUGUUUGCUUUUGUGGUACUGAAAGAUAUUUUUACUCUGGAACUGUGAGGUUUUACUGUUUGUCACCAGAGUCUACAGCAAACUUGACCACAAUCCUGUCAACUCAAAUGUUUUGCGUGAGUAGCUCUGAUACAGGAAUAUUUGGUGCCUUCACUGAGAGAGUGGGUCUAAAAAAAUAAACAUGACCCUGUUUCAAAGAUGUAUUACUCUCUUAUUUCAUCACCUCUCAUUCCUGAAAAGAUAAAAGUUGGUGAGGUGACAGAUGUGGUUCGUUUAUCAUUAAUCAUGUCAGGAGCUCUGCUGCGCUGCUUCUUUUGUUUACUGACUGAGUAAACAACUUUUAGGAUUUAUAAUUUACUCUCUAACUUUGAGAUCUUGUCAGCUAUUGUUUAUUAUACUGUGGUAAAGUGCUGUAUGACUGAUUAAUGUCACCACAGAGGACAGAUCAAUAAUCAAUGGAUGUGUUUAUCAACUGACUCAAAAAAUCUAUUUUGAAAAAGAGGGGAAAAAGUGAAGGACUGUUGACCAUAAAUGACAUGAUGGUUGAGACUGGUUUAAAUGAAAGGAAAAUAUUAUUUGUGGCGAACUAACUCAAAGCAAGGAAAUUCAGUUCAGCACUGUAGGGAAGUAAACACUGUUACUCUGAGGACAAAGAUUACUACUUGAGUGUAAAGGGGAACUGGACAAAACCAGACUUGUAGAGGUUGAGCUCUUAGUUGGAGCUGAUCACUCAAAAUCAAUCUGCAAAUGUGGGGGACAGAUGUGAACUAAUGUGAGCAAACAAUACACUAUGACCACUCUGUAUUUGCUCUAAACAUCUCCCAAUAAUGAUUUUAAGGGCCUGUGUCCACAUGUGGCAUCUUGUUGACCUUGAAGCACCUCUUUCCAAUACAAACCAAUGCAACUCCUGUUUUCAGCCCCCAUUACACUACAAAACAAAAACAACCUUGGGACGGGGCUGGGAAAUUACUAUAAAGUUUUUUUUUUCUUUUUAACUGGCUGUUUUUGUUGUUUCGGUCACAAUACUAUCAGUCAAAAAAAAGUCCAACUUUUCAAUCAACCUCAUGCUUUUCAGUCUCACUUCUCUGUCGCUGCUCCAUCACCAACCAGUGAAACUGAAGGUGACAUUUCUGAUAUCAACUUUGUAAACAAAAAUUGCAGAGGAAGCUUUAACUUGUUUCUUAAAGGGUGCAGUUUCCAGCUAAUAUUAUGACAUAGUUACUGUUUAUUUCUUGAACAUUUUUUAUGAUGAAAUUACAUUGCAUACACAACCAGACUUAACAAGUCCACAGAGAAGUGGAAGUGCUGCGGGAAAAUUCUUGUAACCUAGUAACAAAACAUCAGAGAGGCGCCCUGAAACGGAGAUCAUGGAUGAUACUGAUGCAUUAAAUGUCAUAAGUGGACACAGGUCCUAAAAUAUACAGAUCCCUGUUUACACCUUUUUUUUUUUUUAUCUCAAUCCCAAAACUUUGACUGUUCAAAUGUUUCUACUGCUGAUUAUUAGUCACCUACAGUUGAGAGGCUAUUUUUACAAAUCUUGUCAGGGCUUAGAUUAAAAGUGUGGAAACUCUGACCCAUCUCUGGUCUUACUGCAGAGGAAUGAACCCUACUGCCAUACAGGGGCAAAACAGGGGCAAGUAUUCGCCUCGAGGAUAAAAGAAGUGACCUUAUGUCUGACUGCAUGCUAAGCUUGACCCUGAAAAUGUGAAUGAGGAAGCUGAUGUAAUGCCUCCUACUACAGAAAUAGUUACCACCCUGCUGUUGGGCAAGGCCAUGGACAGAGCCCUAACCGCUCCAGUGACUACACUGAAGAGAUGGCUCCAUUUAAAGUCCUUUAAAAGCUAUCUAAAAAUUAAAGAAUUCAGUAAAAUGAGCUUUCAUUGUGUCUUCAGAGGAGAGCUGUAUAAUGGAAAAAUAUAUUGGUACAGGAGAAGUGAAUUUUUCUACUAAAGGCUGCAACACAACAGACUUACAAUGGGCAGGAUGUGCAACAUUUUGGAUCAAGAAAUGUCAUAGCUUUAGGCCUAAAUUAUAAUCUGUUCGGCUAAACUACAAGAGCCUCACAAGUCCAGUAAGUGAAACGUCCUUUCAGUGUGAUUAUCAGGUUAGAACUAAUACUACACUCAGUGCAGUCAGUCAGGUAGGACACUGGUUAAGGCGUCUGAGUGAGGUAGUGGAAAAAGCAGCAGAGAUAUGACUGGUGAGAAAAUCCUUCCUUGAAGAAAUCAGCAUGAAUAUUUUUAGCAAGUUCAUCUUCACGACAUUUUUACAAAGCCCUCAAGCAACUGUCGUUAUUAUGACAGAAAACACAAGAAGUCAAACAGCUGGAUCGAGAGGAGUUGGGGGAGAAUUAAUGAGUCAACAAUGAACAGUCAAUAUUGUUCAACUAACCACAUGAUUAUGUCUGUAAACAUGAUGAAUUUUAAGCUCUCUCAUGUUCACCUAAAUACACAAGCUUUCUCUCUUUUCGGUGCAACUUUCCACCUGCUACAAGAUGAUACGGUACAAUGUUAUAAUGUCAUUUAGCAGAUGCUUUUAUCCAAAGUGUCGUACAUCUGCAGACAAUACAGAUAAUAAUUUUGUUCAGUUAGAAAAUGAAAAUUUUUAUGGCAUUCAACACAUUCUUAUGGCAGCCAUUUUUCUUUGGUUUCAUACAAAGUAGCUGAGAUGCUGGUUGCUAAUCCCAAAGGUAUUUGACAAUCUGCAGCAUGCUAACCUUUCACAAUAGACUGUAUAUGGGCAUAGUCUUAAACACAUAACUUACUGGUUUCUAAGGAGAGCUAAGACACCCAUAUAUGAUGUUCUUCAUACUGGAAGUGUUGACUCAGACUAUGUUACUACUAAUCUAGAAACUAGGGAUUUUUUUAAAUGACUAAUUUCCUACUUACUAGAAAAGAUAAACAGACUUUUCUCACCAUAAAAGUAAGAAAACAUUCAGGAAAAAAAGCCAAAAUUUAGUACAAGUGACUUCACACUGCCAAACACAGACUACAGAGUCUGUGGGUAAACUGUGUAAGAUUGGUUAGCUCAGUGUGGCUCAAGUUUACAGAGAUAGCACCACCAGCUUUCUGUACUCCUCCCUGGUUGAUGUCUAAGUCCAUGCCUUUGCUUAUACAUAUUUCUGGACGACACAGCAAACAGACAAGACUAUCUUCAUUUUUAGAUGACAAUACUGACCAAUUAUACAGUGACAUAAGAUGCCAUCUUUCAUCUGCGCUUGGUAGCAGAGCAUUAAAAAAUGGAGAUGGUUGUACUACAGCUUAAACACAACAUGUGAGUGGCUAUUUAGGCCCGGAUAACAACCAUUCUUUUAAUCAACGAGUAAUUCUAACACCUACUUGGAAGAGAGAGAAUGUUUAAAUAUUUACUCAGCUAAAACAGGUGCAACCCUUCCAAAAAUUAGUAAAGAGGAGAUGUUGGGGCCAUGGCCUUGCUGUGUAACAAACAGCAACAAAACGCCCAUCCGUCAGUCAAAUCAACCAAUCCCUUAAUUACUCCACAGUACGCACAACUCCUAGCCUCAAUAUGACAAAAUUUGUGAGUUAUAAGAAAAAUAAACUCUGGCACAGUUGUAGCCAUUUUAAAAAGCCCCAGACUAAUACAGUUUAUUCAUACCAGCAGUAUAAAUGUGGACAUUUAACUAUGCUUUGUAAUGGUAUUUAGAGCCAGCCUCAUGUAGACAUGGGGGACCUUAUAGCUUAACUGGUCAUUAAAUAGCUUUUUUGUGUCUGUUUUAAAAAUAGACAACAAAAAAAAAAGAAAAAAAAAUCGACAAGAAAUAUUUUAAGCCACCUGAGAGGAUACAUGCUUUAGAGCUGUUGUGAGUACCUUUUAGUUUGUGUUGGUUUUGGUGCCUCCCAUGGACAAAGUGAUACCUUUUGAGGCUUGUACACAUGAGAGUGGUCUUUUCAGACAAAACCUCAUCCUGUUGUUUUUAUCAAUAACAGGUAUCACUAAAGAUCCUUACACACCGGGAACAACGCAGAUAUACGACACAAAAUUACAAAAUAUUCAGAGGCUUAUUUUGACGCGCCUGACUAUACACAUCAAGCGCGAUGUGAUUUUGCCACUUCCCAUGGGGAAAAAAGACACAUCCCGGGUGGAAGCGAGAAGACUGACACAACACCAGUUGUUAAAACAAAGAUGUUUAGCAAACUGUUAAAGCACACAAACCAUCGUCUUAUGAGAAAUCCGACACUAUGACUCUCCACAAGUUGUCCUUCAGGUCGUUAUCUUUGUAAUAUUUGUGUCUUUAUCAAAAAGCACUCUGUUCUCCGACAAGUAAACAAUCAGCCGGUCGGCCAUGUUGUAUAUACCGGUGAAUCUGAUGUUGCAACAACACGAAAUCUGAUUGGUCAGAAGUGGACACACAGUAUGCGAAACUUUAGAAAAAUCGACUGAGAUAUGAAAAAAUAAAUGCUGCAAUAUCACAGGACGGGAAAACGUUGCUGAUGUGAACACUUGUAUUGACAGGCUACGGGUUUGAAAAAAAAUAUUGAUGAUGAUUCUCUAUUUUGAUUCUUUUAAAAGGCAGGAUAUUUAAAAAAAACAACAACAACAUGGUUUAAAUUAAAUUGCUAACCAGAGUUCUUUUUUUUGGAUGAAAUCUGUGAACUUCUCCAUGAAUUUUUAAAUUAUAUUAACUUUUUAAAAACUUUACUUUGAAUUUCUCACAGGGAUUUUUUCAACCAGUGUAUAAAUAUUAAUAUUUGUUGUCAGGUCGUUUGUCUAUGAAAAAGUACAAGGGCUAAUGUUACUUGGAUAUUUAAGUUGACACACAGUACAAUUUGUUUGCCGCUUCAAAGUUAGCGGAAGACAGAAGUAAUUGAUUGUUUCACUUAUCUGAUUCUGGCUGGUUCACAGAAGUCCUGCCAAGCGCGUCAAAGACGAGCACUCAGGUGUUUCUCCUCCGUGAAUCCUGAGGUGUUUAAUCAUGUUGGUCGUUCACCCUCUUUUGCAUGAUAUUACUGUGUUGCUAAUGUUGCACUGAGAUAAGAGUUCAUUCUUCCUGCUGAAGUUAGCCAAACUUUUGACCGUAGCCGCUGCGGGUCGCGAUGCUCUGUCUGUCUUCUCUCUUCUAGCUUCAUCUCACUCACUUCGGCGGCUUCUUCUUCGUUGGUGUUAAGCGCGUCUUCCUCGUUGGUGUUCGGCGGCUAUUUCUUCCGGUCGGCGGACGCCGGCAGAAAAUUUAAAAUUUGAACAGUUCCGGGAGAAUCGGAACGUUAGUCCCGGUCCCCAUCGACUCUCGUACCCGACCCUAGAUGCAAGG